CACUUUGGCAGACUGAGUGGCGGACGGGUGAGUAACGCGUGGGUAACCUGCCUUAUACAGGGGGAUAACAGUUGGAAACGACUGCUAAUACCGCAUGACACAGCGAGAUCGCAUGGUCUUGCUGUCAAAGAUUUAUUGCUGAAAGAUGGCCUCGCGUCUGAUUAGCUAGUUGGUGAGGUAACGGCCCACCAAGGCGACGAUCAGUAGCCGACCUGAGAGGGUGACCGGCCACAUUGGGACUGAGACACGGCCCAAACUCC
RNAcentral lists this ribosomal RNA (260 nucleotides) under uncultured Eubacteriales bacterium. RNAcentral's name for it is "uncultured Clostridiales bacterium partial 16S ribosomal RNA". It matches the Rfam family "Bacterial small subunit ribosomal RNA", at positions 79 to 339 of the family's 1533-position model. The record is from RNAcentral. Lineage: Bacteria; Bacillati; Bacillota; Clostridia; Eubacteriales.